Long non-coding RNA from Boleophthalmus pectinirostris (great blue-spotted mudskipper), 878 nucleotides. RefSeq lists it as uncharacterized. The transcript has 3 exons. NCBI's taxonomy places the organism in Eukaryota, Metazoa, Chordata, Actinopteri, Gobiiformes, Gobiidae. The record is from RefSeq and is a predicted model, not a curated record.
GUGCAUUGUUUUUCCUUACGGUCAUUUUCAAGCACAGUGUCUGUAUUUUAUCUAAACAAAUAUGCUCCUCUAUACUGUUGGUAUGGAUCAGAUACACUGAAAAAACGGUCCGAGAGGGGUUGCUCAAAUUGCAAAAACAAAUUUGACAACAAUAACAUCACUUUUUUACGUUUCUCUGUCAAGCAUGUUUAAAUCUUACAAACAUCGCUUGAUUGUGGCCGAUGUGAGACCUGCAUGUUUUAAUCAGGUUGAGGAAACAUGACUUUAUUAUAAUCUCUAGUGAGGCUCCUCCCUCUGGAAUUCUCCUCCCCAAAACUUUUGGAGGGAAAAUUCUAAUGUAACAGGACACAGGACAGUUAGAUGAGCAGAGGACACACAGUGUGGAGCAGGAGGAUUAUGAGAGCUGAUCUGGAGGUGAGACUUUUCAAAGAUUUUAUUAUGUGCUUCUCCGGCCUAGAAUGUCGUCAUUGUUAAAACAUGUUUGUGUUGUUUUAUUUGAAAUUAGAGUUAAUGUAAGGACAGCUUGAAACAAAUUGUUUUUGACUGUCCAUCUACAAGAGUGUGACACUUGUACUAAGAUUUGAAUGUGUUGCUUCCAGAGUCGUCUACAAAGAGUGACGUCCAGAGAUCUGCUGGAGCUGUGGGGAAGUUCAUGAAUGUUAUAGUUGAUGUUUCAGAAAAAAGGAAGAUGUUUGAGAACCAACAAAACACAGACCACAGAUGAACAAAGUGAUGUGGCAUUAGGAGACUUUAUACCAGAUGCCCUCCCUGUUACUGUGUUUAGAGGAAGAAAAGCAGCACAUGAGACCAGAGCUUCACUGGAAUAAAUCUUCACACUGUCCAGCUCCAAACUGUGUAUCUCUGUCCCUGUGCUCUCU